CGGUAAUACGUAGGUGGCAAGCGUUGUCCGGAAUUAUUGGGCGUAAAGCGCGCGCAGGCGGUCCUUUAAGUCUGAUGUGAAAGCCCACGGCUCAACCGUGGAGGGUCAUUGGAAACUGGGGGACUUGAGUGCAGAAGAGGAAAGUGGAAUUCCAAGUGUAGCGGUGAAAUGCGUAGAGAUUUGGAGGAACACCAGUGGCGAAGGCGACUUUCUGGUCUGUAACUGACGCUGAGGCGCGAAAGCGUGGGGAGCAAACAGGAUU
RNAcentral lists this ribosomal RNA (262 nucleotides) under Lysinibacillus odysseyi. RNAcentral's name for it is "partial 16S ribosomal RNA". It matches the Rfam family "Bacterial small subunit ribosomal RNA", at positions 518 to 779 of the family's 1533-position model. The record is from RNAcentral. RNAcentral also lists the same sequence under 1 other name. Lineage: Bacteria; Bacillati; Bacillota; Bacilli; Caryophanales; Bacillaceae.